RNAcentral lists this long non-coding RNA (1681 nucleotides) under Homo sapiens (human). Its description in RNAcentral is "non-protein coding lnc-MAPKAPK5-4:1". The record is from RNAcentral. Lineage: Eukaryota; Metazoa; Chordata; Mammalia; Primates; Hominidae.
GCGAGACUCUGUCUCAAAAAACAAACAGACGAACAACAACAAAAAAACCCCAAUAAAAACACAAAACACUGACAAUACCAAAAGCUAGCUAGAAUGUGGAGCAUCAGGAACUGUAAUCCACUGAACAAUGGUAUAGCCACUUUGGAAGAUAGUUUGGCAGUUUCUUACAAUGUUACAUAUGGGCUUACCAUAUGAUCCAGCAAUCAUGCACCUAGGUAUUUACUCAAAAACUUAUGUACACACAAAACCUGUAUACAAAUGCUGAUAGCAGCUUUAUUCAUAAUGGCCAAACACAGGAAAAUGUCCUUCAAUUGGCAAGAUUUGCCUUCAUAAGUGAGUGAAUAAACAUACUGUGGUACAUCCAGAGUGAAAUAUAAUUCAGUGAUGAAAAGAAAUGAUCUAUAAGGUCACAAAAAGACAUAGAGGAAUCUUACAUGGAUAUUGUAAAGUAAAAGAACAGUCUGAAAAGGUUACAUACUGUAUGCUAAAUAUAUGUCACUUGGAAAACACAAAACUAUAGAGAAAGCAAAAAGAUCAGUGGUUGCCAGGGGUUUGGAGAGAAAGAGGGAGAGAUAAAUAGGUGGAACACAAGGGAUUUUUAGGGCAGUGAAACUGUUCUGUACAACAUGGCAAUGGUGGCUACAUGACAUUAUACAUUUGUCAAAACUCAUACAACUAUAUAACACAAAAAAUGAGCCCUAAUGUAAACUAUGGACUUUAGUUUAUAAUAAUGUAUCAGUAUUGGCUCAUCAAUUGUAACAAACAUACCAUACUAAUUAAAGAUGCUAAUGGAGAAAUCCUGUGUGGAGGUAGACGAGGUACAUGGGAACACUGUAAUAUCAGCUGAAUUUAUCUUUUCUUUUUUUUUUUUCGAGACAGAGUAUCACUCUGUCUCAAAGAGCAACAUGGUGAAACCCCAUCUGAUGCCCUAGAUAUGAGUACAUCUGAGAGAUUUAUUCCCUAGACCCUGGAACAUUUAAAACAACUUGGCGCUCUAAUCUCUUUUUCCUUUCCAUGCUACUUAUGUAUUACAGGAAAGGUCUACUCAUACUUCCUUCCAGGACUUGCUGGGUUUUUUUUUUUUUUUCCAAGCCGAUCCCUGGUGUUUUAUACUCAGGAUCUCAUAGCUGAUUCCCCUUAUGCUAAUGGACAUAUAUCAUAUCAAAUAGGGAAGUGCCCAUAUCUCAGAUACAGAGGGAAUUUUAGAGCAAGGAUCAAAAUCAGUCUAUUUAAAUGAGGUAAAUGUCCAUGCAGAAGAGAUUCUUAGGACAACAAAGUGGUAGGUCAAAGACCAUGCCCACAAACUCUUUCGGAGGCAGAAAAGGUUUGGGGGUUUGAAAUGGGCUGUGUGGUACAGAGUAGAGAAUGGUGCAAGAGGCACUGGACAGCAGAGGCCUGUGACCUAUCCAGAGACCCACAAAGGCCUGCUCUGGAACCUUUAGUUUCAAUGAGCCAAAAGAAUAACACAUGCCAGGAGAGGUGGUAGAAGCUGUUUCAUGGGCACUACAACUGACAGGAAAAGGUUAUUUUUUUUUCCUUUUCUUGAGGCCUGAUCCUGGGUCAUGGAACUUGCUGGACCUCUGAAAUCUUCCUCUCCUUGGUAUAUUCUUCCAUGAAAACAGCAGAAGGCAGGGCAUGGUGGUUCACGCCUGUAAUCCCUACACUUUGGGAGGCCGAGGCG